This 72-nucleotide transfer RNA is filed under the name Camelus bactrianus (Bactrian camel). It matches the Rfam family "tRNA". Rfam says of the family: Transfer RNA (tRNA) molecules are approximately 80 nucleotides in length. Lineage: Eukaryota; Metazoa; Chordata; Mammalia; Artiodactyla; Camelidae. The record is from Rfam by way of RNAcentral. RNAcentral also lists the same sequence under 3 other names.
GUGGGUAUUGCUCAGUGGCAGGGUGCAUGCUUAGCAUGCGUGAGGUUCUGGGUUCAAUCCCCAAUACCUCUG